GAUGAACGCUGGCGGUGUGCCUAAUACAUGCAAGUCGAGCGAACAGACGAGGAGCUUUCUCCUCUGACGUUAGCGGCGGACGGGUGAGUAAUACGUGGAUAACCUUCCUAUAAGACUGGGCUAACUUCGGGAAAACGGAGCUAAUACCGGAUCAUAUAUCGAACCGCAUGGUUCACUAGUGAAAGACGGUUUUGCCGACACUUUUAGAUGGAUCCGCGCCGCAUUCUCUAGUUGGUAAGGUAACGGCGUACCAAGGCAACGAUGCGUAGCCGACCUGAGAGGGUGAUCAGCCACACUGGAACUGAGACACGGUCCAGACUCCUACGGGAGGCAGCAGUGGGGAAUCUUCCGCAAUGUGCGAAAGCCUGACGAAGCAACGCCGCGUGAGUGAUGAAGGUCUUCGGAUCGUAAAACUCUGUUAUUAGGGAAGAACAAAUGUAUAAGUAACUAUGCACGUCAUGACGGUACCUAAUCAAAAAGCCACGGCUAACUACGUG
This 497-nucleotide ribosomal RNA is filed under the name uncultured bacterium. Its description in RNAcentral is "partial 16S ribosomal RNA". It matches the Rfam family "Bacterial small subunit ribosomal RNA", at positions 28 to 507 of the family's 1533-position model. The record is from RNAcentral.